UGGGGAAUAUUGCACAAUGGGCGAAAGCCUGAUGCAGCGACGCCGCGUGAGGGAUGACGGCCUUCGGGUUGUAAACCUCUUUCAGUAGGGACGAAGCGCAAGUGACGGUACCUGCAGAAGAAGCACCGGCUAACUACGUGCCAGCAGCCGCGGUAAUACGUAGGGUGCGAGCGUUGUCCGGAAUUACUGGGCGUAAAGAGCUCGUAGGCGGUUUGUCACGUCGUCUGUGAAAUCCUAGGGCUUAACCCUGGACGUGCAGGCGAUACGGGCUGACUUGAGUACUACAUGGGAGACUGGAAUUUCUGGUGUAGCGGUGGAAUGCACAGAUAUCAGGAAGAACACCGAUGGCGAAGGCAGGUCUCUGGGUAGUAACUGACGCUGAGGAGCGAAAGCAUGGGUAGCGAACAGG
This 409-nucleotide ribosomal RNA is filed under the name bacterium. RNAcentral describes it as "partial 16S ribosomal RNA". It matches the Rfam family "Bacterial small subunit ribosomal RNA", at positions 355 to 776 of the family's 1533-position model. The record is from RNAcentral.